GGGUGCCAUCAUACCAAUGUUAAUGUACCGGAUCCCAUCAAAACUCCGUAGUUAAGCGCACUUGGGCUAUAGUAGUACUGGGAUGGGUGACCUCCCAGGAAGUCCUAGUGUUUCAGCCU
Molecule: non-coding RNA, 119 nt
Organism: Picea glauca (white spruce)
Lineage: Eukaryota; Viridiplantae; Streptophyta; Pinopsida; Pinales; Pinaceae
Source: Rfam